UUGCCGCAACAACUGCUGCUCCUCCUCCUGUUUCUGUUGUUGCUUAAGUAAGAAAAGCUUGUCUAAAACGGACAGCUGCUGUGUAGGAAGAGAAGCUUGGUGUUGCAACUGUAGCAAAUAUUGCUGCUGCAUCAUACUCAGUACUUGUGGAUCUUGUGACAAACCUGAUUGUAAUAUCUUAUCAGGUCCCAUCAUAGACGGUUGAUUAUCCAUAGCCCGACCAAUUAAAUUCGCUAGAGGUGCUAAGUUUUCAGGCUGCAGCCUUUGCUGCUGCACAAACGGGGCUUGUGGAGGGAAAAUUUGCUCGUUACGGAAGUCAAUCUUACCCUCGAGAGGAUCUAAGUUAUUUUGGACAGGGAAAUUAAACCAACCAGAAACAGAUCUGUCAGAUACACCCUGC
RNAcentral lists this long non-coding RNA (400 nucleotides) under Linum usitatissimum (flax). Its description in RNAcentral is "long non-coding RNA (LUSI_LNC001447)". The record is from RNAcentral. Lineage: Eukaryota; Viridiplantae; Streptophyta; Magnoliopsida; Malpighiales; Linaceae.